UACGUAGGGGGCAAGCGUUGUCCGGAAUCACUGGGCGUAAAGGGCGCGUAGGCGGCUGGGGAAGUCCGUGGUGAAAGCUCGUGGCUCAACUGCGAGUCGGCCAAGGAUACUCCUCAGCUCGAGUCGACUAGAGGCAGAUGGAAUUCCGGGUGUAGCGGUGGAAUGCGUAGAGAUCCGGAAGAACACCGGUGGCGAAGGCGGUCUGCUGGGGUCGAACUGACGCUGAGGCGCGACAGCGUGGGGAGCAAACAGG
This 253-nucleotide ribosomal RNA is filed under the name uncultured bacterium. RNAcentral describes it as "partial 16S ribosomal RNA". It matches the Rfam family "Bacterial small subunit ribosomal RNA", at positions 524 to 776 of the family's 1533-position model. The record is from RNAcentral.